UGCCAUUAUGAGGAUGUGUCGACACUGCCU
RNAcentral lists this non-coding RNA (30 nucleotides) under Rattus norvegicus (Norway rat). The record is from RNAcentral. Lineage: Eukaryota; Metazoa; Chordata; Mammalia; Rodentia; Muridae.